GAUGAACGCUGGCGGCGUGCCUAAUACAUGCAAGUCGAGCGAACAGACGAGGAGCUUGCUCCUCUGACGUUAGCGGCGGACGGGUGAGUAACACGUGGAUAACCUACCUAUAAGACUGGGAUAACUUCGGGAAACCGGAGCUAAUACCGGAUAAUAUAUUGAACCGCAUGGUUCAAUAGUGAAAGACGGUUUUGCUGUCACUUAUAGAUGGAUCCGCGCCGCAUUAGCUAGUUGGUAAGGUAACGGCUUACCAAGGCAACGAUGCGUAGCCGACCUGAGAGGGUGAUCGGCCACACCGGAACUGAGAAACGGUCCAGACUCCUACGGGAGGCAGCAGUAGGGAAUCUUCCGCAAUGGGCGAAAGCCUGACGGAGCAACGCCGCGUGAGUGAUGAAGGUCUUCGGAUCGUAAAACUCUGUUAUUAGGGAAGAACAAAUGUGUAAGUAACUAUGCACGUCUUGACGGUACCUAAUCAGAAAGCCACGGCUAACUACGUG
This 497-nucleotide ribosomal RNA is filed under the name uncultured bacterium. Its description in RNAcentral is "partial 16S ribosomal RNA". It matches the Rfam family "Bacterial small subunit ribosomal RNA", at positions 28 to 507 of the family's 1533-position model. The record is from RNAcentral.